CAGUAGGUAGUUUAUUUUUAAAAUGUAGUAUUUGGGUUACUGAGAAUUUUUACUGA
This 56-nucleotide transfer RNA is filed under the name Ascaris lumbricoides (common roundworm). Its description in RNAcentral is "tRNA-Pro". Lineage: Eukaryota; Metazoa; Nematoda; Chromadorea; Rhabditida; Ascarididae. The record is from RNAcentral.